This is a long non-coding RNA of Ficedula albicollis (Collared flycatcher), 340 nucleotides long. RefSeq lists it as uncharacterized. The transcript has 3 exons. NCBI's taxonomy places the organism in Eukaryota, Metazoa, Chordata, Aves, Passeriformes, Muscicapidae. The record is from RefSeq and is a predicted model, not a curated record.
GGAACAGCGGCGAAAUCACCCAGCCCGGCCCAGCAGCUUGUUAACCACAUCGGAGUGCCGCGUCCGGUCAUUCCUCGAACACCUCCAAGCACGGUGGGGGGCCUGUGUUUCAUCAAAUCCAUAAGAAAAUGCCAGGUGCUUGAUUUCAGCCUCACAGAUGAACAUCCUUCCUCUGCUGAUGCUGUUCUUUCUCCAGAUGGACUGGAGGUUAGAAAAGCUGCAGAUCCUUGUUGAGAGCCCAGGAUGGCAGGAAAGUUCAAUCUGUUCAGCGUUCAAAGACCUCAAACAAAUAAACAAAUCAACCAAGACUUUAUUGAGGCAAAAUUCACCAUUUUUCUGA